RNAcentral lists this long non-coding RNA (388 nucleotides) under Homo sapiens (human). RNAcentral describes it as "HSALNT0182898". Lineage: Eukaryota; Metazoa; Chordata; Mammalia; Primates; Hominidae. The record is from RNAcentral.
UCUCUCUCCACUCUCCCCUCAGAUAAUCUCCACGACUCUUUCCUGUCCCUCCCUGGGGGGCUUGGGAGGCUCCAGGCUGAGGGUUAGGAACCCUAAUUCAUGUGAUCAGAAUAGAGAGGAAGGAAAAGGUGCUGGUGACUAAGAACAGGAGCCGACUCUGUGCCUCAGUCUCCCCUCCAGGGCUACAAGCAGGCUCUCAGCUUCCUGCUGCCCCCUCUCCAUCCUGGGAAUUCCUGAUUUUACGGCAUGCUCCCCUUCAGCCCCAAGCCGCCAAGAUAACCAACCUUUUGUCUUCUGCACCAGAAACAGGGGAUUUGGCAGGAGAGUCAAACCCCAGAGCACUAGGCAGACAGAGCGCCGCCUUCCUUGGGAGAGACCUGAUCUCCAG